Long non-coding RNA from Coffea eugenioides, 406 nucleotides. RefSeq lists it as uncharacterized. The record is from RefSeq and is a predicted model, not a curated record. Lineage: Eukaryota; Viridiplantae; Streptophyta; Magnoliopsida; Gentianales; Rubiaceae. The transcript has 2 exons.
ACCAGAAACCCUAGGGCUUUUGUAUCUUGCGCUGCGCCUCUUGUUCGACGGGGUUCUGAAAGAGAAGUCGGAGUUUCGAGAGCGUCCUUGUUUAUCGCCAUGAGAGCCAAGUGGAAGAAGAAGAGAAUGAGGAGGUUGAAGAGGAAGCGCCGAAAGAUGAGGCAGAGAUCUAAGUAGGAGGAGUACCAGAAGAGUCUUUGUUCUUACGUUUUGUUAGAUCCUAGGCUCUGCUUAUGCUGUCUCUAUCACGCUUUUUUGUCCUGUCAUAUUUUAGAUUUUCCUGUCUUCAUUUUGUUGAAUUUUGGCUUGCAGACUUUGAUUGUAAUGAUAUGAAGUUUCAGUUUCGCUGAAUCCACCUGUCUAAUGGAAAUUUUUAUCUUUUGGAGAAAUGUUCAUUUUAUGUUUA